RNAcentral lists this ribosomal RNA (880 nucleotides) under Methanomethylovorans sp. enrichment culture clone AM9. RNAcentral's name for it is "bacterial SSU rRNA". It matches the Rfam family "Archaeal small subunit ribosomal RNA", at positions 1 to 884 of the family's 1478-position model. Lineage: Archaea; Methanobacteriati; Methanobacteriota; Methanomicrobia; Methanosarcinales; Methanosarcinaceae. The record is from RNAcentral.
UUCCGGUUGAUCCCGCCGGAGGUCACUGCUAUCGGUGUUCGACUAAGCCAUGCGAGUCAAAUGUUCUUCGUGAACAUGGCGUACUGCUCAGUAACACGUGGAUAACCUGCCCUUAGGUCUGGCAUAACCCCGGGAAACUGGGGAUAAUUCCGGAUAGAUCAUGGAUGCUGGAAUGCACCGUGGUCGAAAGCUUUUGUGCCUAAGGAUGGGUCUGCGGUCUAUCAGGUUGUAGUGGGUGUAACGUACCUACUAGCCUACGACGGAUACGGGUUGUGGGAGCAAGAGCCCGGAGAUGGAUUCUGAGACAUGAAUCCAGGCCCUACGGGGCGCAGCAGGCGCGAAAACUUUACAAUGCGGGAAACCGCGAUAAGGGGACACCGAGUGCCAGCAUCCUAUGUUGGCUGUCCAUAUGUAUAAAUAACAUGUGUUAGCAAGGGCCGGGCAAGACCGGUGCCAGCCGCCGCGGUAACACCGGCGGCCCGAGUGGUGGCCACUAUUAUUGGGUCUAAAGGGUCCGUAGCCGGUUUGGUCAGUCUUCCGGGAAAUCUGACGGCUUAACCGUUAGGCUUUCGGGGGAUACUGCCAGGCUUGGGACCGGGAGAGGUAAGAGGUACUACGGGGGUAGGAGUGAAAUCUUGUAAUCCCUGUGGGACCACCAGUGGCGAAGGCGUCUUACCAGAACGGGUCCGACGGUGAGGGACGAAAGCUGGGGGCACGAACCGGAUUAGAUACCCGGGUAGUCCCAGCCGUAAACUAUGCUCGCUAGGUGUCAGGGACGGUGCGACCUUUUCUGGUGCCGUAGGGAAGCCGUGAAGCGAGCCACCUGGGAAGUACGGUCGCAAGGCUGAAACUUAAAGGAAUUGGCGGGGGAGCACUACAA